UUAUGUGCACGUUGAGAAUUUUAGCAUCUCCUAGUAGUUAGCUUGGAGACUGCGGUCAAGUGAAUUUUUCUGUGGUUUGGCUUGUAUUCCUUCCUAUUGGAUGUUUAGGGUCACAUGAGUGGGGUAAUGCAGGAAGCCAUUUUAGUAUUGGGAUUUGCACAGUGAGGUAUACCAAAGGUCUCCCUGUUUAAUCCUUCAGCAUCCACCUGUGUUAUGCCAUGGAGAAGCUUUGUUUUUUCACAAGUUCUGGGAAAGCACUGUAAGAUGUACAUUGAUGAAGACAAACAA
Oreochromis niloticus (Nile tilapia) is the source of this 288-nucleotide long non-coding RNA. RefSeq lists it as uncharacterized. The transcript is spliced from 2 exons. The record is from RefSeq and is a predicted model, not a curated record. Lineage: Eukaryota; Metazoa; Chordata; Actinopteri; Cichliformes; Cichlidae.